RNAcentral lists this ribosomal RNA (253 nucleotides) under uncultured prokaryote. Its description in RNAcentral is "partial 16S ribosomal RNA". It matches the Rfam family "Bacterial small subunit ribosomal RNA", at positions 525 to 777 of the family's 1533-position model. The record is from RNAcentral.
ACGGGGGGGGCAAGCGUUGUUCGGAAUUACUGGGCGUAAAGGGCGCGUAGGCGGUUGGAUAAGUCAGCUGUGAAAACCACGGGCUUAACUCGUGGCCUGCAGUUGAGACUGUCUGGCUUGAGUGUGGGAGAGGAGAGUGGAAUUCCUGGUGUAGCGGUGGAAUGCGCAGAUAUCAGGAGGAACACCGGUGGCGAAGGCGGGUCUCUGGGCAGUAACUGACGCUGAGGAGCGAAAGCGUGGGGAGCGAACAGGA